CUACGGGGCGCAGCAGUAGGGAAUAUUGCGCAAUGGGGGAAACCCUGACGCAGCCACGCCGCGUGAGUGAGGAAGGCCUUCGGGUUGUAAAGCUCUGUCAGUAAGGAAAAAUGGUAUAUAAGUUAAUAGCUUUUAUAUUUGAUGGUACUUACAAAGGAAGCACCGGCUAACUUCGUGCCAGCAGCCGCGGUAAUACGAAGGGUGCAAGCGUUGUUCGGAUUUAUUGGGCGUAAAGCGCGCGUAGGCGGAUUUGAAAGUCAGGUGUGAAAUCUCGGGGCUUAACCCCGAAACUGCGCCUGAAACUCCAAAUCUAGAAUCUCAGAGAGGAAUGUGGAAUUUCGCAUGUAGGGGUAAAAUCCGUAGAGAUGCGAAGGAACACCAGAGGCGAAGGCGGCAUUCUGGAUGAGUAUUGACGCUGAGGCGCGAAAGCGUGGGGAGCAAACAGGAUUAGAUACCCUUGUAGUC
This 465-nucleotide ribosomal RNA is filed under the name uncultured bacterium. RNAcentral describes it as "partial 16S ribosomal RNA". It matches the Rfam family "Bacterial small subunit ribosomal RNA", at positions 339 to 795 of the family's 1533-position model. The record is from RNAcentral.